Molecule: ribosomal RNA, 296 nt
Filed under: Pagurus pubescentulus
Lineage: Eukaryota; Metazoa; Arthropoda; Malacostraca; Decapoda; Paguridae
Description: partial large subunit ribosomal RNA
Rfam family: Eukaryotic large subunit ribosomal RNA
Source: RNAcentral
AGGGAUUCCCUCAGUAAGGGCGACUGAAAUGGGAAGAGCCCAGCGCAUAAGCUCGUCUUGCUCUUCACCGGGCACGAGCGGUGUUGCGUUUCGGAGGGUCCGGCACGCCGCCUUACGACGCCUAAGUCAUGCUUGAACGCGGCCACUACCCAUGGAGGGUGAAAGGCCCGUCUGGCGGAGCCCGCAAGGGCAUAAGUGAGGCGGUCGGAAAGGACCUUUCCGUAGAGUCGGGUUGCUUGAGAGUGCAGCCCAAAGCAGGUGGUAAACUCCAUCUAAGGCUAAAUAUGACCAAGAGA